GUAGGUGGCAAGCGUUGUCCGGAAUUAUUGGGCGUAAAGCGCGCGCAGGCGGUUCUUUAAGUCUGAUGUGAAAGCCCACGGCUCAACCGUGGAGGGUCAUUGGAAACUGGAGAACUUGAGUACAGAAGAGGAAAGCGGAAUUCCACGUGUAGCGGUGAAAUGCGUAGAGAUGUGGAGGAACACCAGUGGCGAAGGCGGCUUUCUGGCCUGUAACUGACGCUGAGGCGCGAAAGCGUGGGGAGCAAACAGGGAUUAGAUACCCUGGUAGUCCACGCCGUAAACGAUGAGUGCUAAGUGUUAGGGGGUUUCCCGCCCCUUAGUGCUGCAGCUAACGCAUUAAGCACUCCGCCUGGGGAGUACGGCCGCAAGGCUG
Molecule: ribosomal RNA, 373 nt
Filed under: uncultured organism
Description: partial 16S ribosomal RNA
Rfam family: Bacterial small subunit ribosomal RNA
Source: RNAcentral